Molecule: long non-coding RNA, 262 nt
Filed under: Vigna radiata
Lineage: Eukaryota; Viridiplantae; Streptophyta; Magnoliopsida; Fabales; Fabaceae
Description: long non-coding RNA (VRAD_LNC009366)
Source: RNAcentral
GGGUACCCCUUUAAGGCGCCAAGAAGAUUAUUUUCGGCCUCUUGCUAUGAGAUUCUAAAGCAGUAACCUCAAAGCCUUUCCUCAAUUUAUUGAUCUUCUGGAGUUGGUUACUGUAAGUAGGUAAUCAAACCAAACACUCAUAAAAGAACUUAAGAAUUCAGUUCAUUUAAUAUUUUGGACUCAGUAAAAUCCCUUAUUUAUUAGCCUAUUCCAGCUCAUCAACGCAUGUUUAUCUAUUUCCUGAAGGGAUUGGCAUAAUCAC